This is a long non-coding RNA of Triticum aestivum (bread wheat), 653 nucleotides long. RefSeq lists it as uncharacterized. The transcript has 2 exons. NCBI's taxonomy places the organism in Eukaryota, Viridiplantae, Streptophyta, Magnoliopsida, Poales, Poaceae. The record is from RefSeq and is a predicted model, not a curated record.
GGUCGCCCCCGACCACCUCGUCGGCACCGACACCGGGAGGGGAUAAGGGCGACGCCUCGGGCUCCCCUCUCCCACUUGCCCCUCUCCACUUGCCCCCUUGCUCUCUCUCUCUCUCUCGCCCACGCGCUCGCCUCUCUCCUCCAGAUCCCCCGCCGAACGCGCCCGCCGCCGUCGCCGCGUCGAUCCUGCGGCCACCAUCGUCCCUGUGCCGUGCCGCCGUGUCCGAUCGCUCCUCUGUCUACUUAUUCGUCACCUGGCGCUUUCCAUUGGAGCCGAGGGGCCCUGCAGCGCCGAGCCAUCUUCGUCCCCAACCUACGGCCACCGAGGUCGCCACCGUCGAAUCGGCAUCGCCUCUGCGCUCCCGUCUCCCCAGAGGGCCUCCGUGUGCCCGCUAGAUGGUGGAUCUCUGGAGCUAGAUGCCACUGCCGAUGGAUGCUACUUCAUGGAGACCGCCAAAGACCAGGAGUAGUUAGGAGGUCCCAGGAAGGAGGCCUUGCCUCUUCGAUCGUUGUUGCUUUUGUGCUAGCCUUCUUAAGGCAUCCUUGUUUAACUUAUGUCUGUACUCAGAUAUUGUUGCUUCCGCUGACUCUUAUGUAUCGAGAUAUGUAUUCGAGCCCUCGAGGCCCCUGGCUUGUAAUAUAAAUCUUGUAUUA